Molecule: long non-coding RNA, 912 nt
Organism: Cyprinus carpio carpio
Lineage: Eukaryota; Metazoa; Chordata; Actinopteri; Cypriniformes; Cyprinidae
Source: Ensembl
CUGAAUUAGAACAUAUCUGAGGUUAUUAUUACGUACCUGUGCCUAGCAUCAGGUAAAGUUUGUGUCAUUGAGUGUAAAAAGCAACAGCUUUUUUUGCUACAGCAGGUCCCAGUCACAGCCAGAGUCGAAAGACUGGUGUCUCUCAUAUCAGGGCUCCUGAAACCAGUGCGGAAAUGACCAGUGACUUUCCUUCCGUUACUGCAGAGUCCUUCCUUCAAGAGCUUAAAAGCUCACUGUUUGAGGAAAUACAUGAGGAUGAAACGGUACUUCAAGCCUCAACAGACUGGUCGACCCGAAAGAGCCUCAUAUCAGGGUGGUGGGAGAAAGAGAGACCCCGACUGGUCAACACCAUGGUGGCUGGACAACAUGCGGCAACUCGGAUCUGCCAACAUUGUGGAAAUGGUCCAGCCGUAAUCCGUUGUUGUGACUGCCGACCACACCCAUUCCUCUGUGGCCAGUGUGAUGUCAGGGUCCACCGAGGUCAAGUGUUCCACAACAGGGAUUCGAUGACACAUGCAUUCUUUCAUCCAUUGCCUCCCACAACUUGUGUUGUGGAGAGGGUUCUAACCCAGUGUGAGCGUCUUGUACCUUUGGAGAUGCCAGAGACAAUAUGCGGUUGUCUACGAGUAUCGUCCAGUGUCAUCGCAGGACAGUCCAUAGUUGUGGUUACAAUGAAUGGUAAGAAGAACUUUAUGGGUUUGGGUGGGGGUCACUUCUGUAGAAGUGUCUGCUGAAUCUCACCCACAGCUAUUUGCUGAUCACACCUCGUAUAUACUCCCUCUCACUUUUUGUCACAAUUAUGCACAUAUACGUAUCAUGUUAAAUUCAUACAUGUUACAUUGUGCAAGAAAUAUUCUUUAUCAUGGCUGGAAAUCCAGAGGUGUCAAUAGGUUGUGUGUUGAUUAGAUUGGC